AUACGGAGGGUCCGAGCGUUAUCCGGAAUCAUUGGGUUUAAAGGGUCCGUAGGCGGGAAUCUAAGUCAGUGGUGAAAUCUUGCAGCUCAACUGUAAAAUUGCCAUUGAUACUGGAUUUCUUUAAUUAGUGUGAAGUGGUUAGAAUGUGUAGUGUAGCGGUGAAAUGCAUAGAUAUGACACAGAAUACCAAUUGCGAAGGCAGAUCACUAACACUAUAUUGACGCUAAGGGACGAAAGCGUGGGGAGCGAACAGGAUUAGAAACCCCGGUAGUCC
This 274-nucleotide ribosomal RNA is filed under the name uncultured bacterium. RNAcentral describes it as "partial 16S ribosomal RNA". It matches the Rfam family "Bacterial small subunit ribosomal RNA", at positions 523 to 796 of the family's 1533-position model. The record is from RNAcentral.